RNAcentral lists this unclassified non-coding RNA (330 nucleotides) under soil metagenome. Its description in RNAcentral is "partial contains 5.8S ribosomal RNA, internal transcribed spacer 2, and large subunit ribosomal RNA". The stretch from base 5 to 119 matches the Rfam family "5.8S ribosomal RNA", at positions 40 to 154 of the family's 154-position model. The record is from RNAcentral.
GAUGAGAACGUAGCGAAAUGCGAUAAGUAAUGUGAAUUGCAGAAUUCAGUGAAUCAUCGAAUCUUUGAACGCACAUUGCGCCCCCUGGUAUUCCGGGGGGCAUGCCUGUUCGAGCGUCAUUUCACCACUCAAGCCUCGCUUGGUAUUGGGCAUCGCGGUCCGCCGCGCGCCUCAAAUCGACCGGCUGGGUCUUCUGUCCCCUAAGCGUUGUGGAAACUAUUCGCUAAAGGGUGUUCGGGAGGCUACGCCGUAAAACAACCCCAUUUCUAAGGUUGACCUCGGAUCAGGUAGGGAUACCCGCUGAACUUAAACAUAUCAAUAAGCGGAGGA